Molecule: ribosomal RNA, 169 nt
Filed under: uncultured bacterium
Lineage: Bacteria
Description: partial 16S rRNA
Rfam family: Bacterial small subunit ribosomal RNA
Source: RNAcentral
CCUACGGGAGGCAGCAGUGGGGAAUUUUGCACAAUGGGGGAAACCCUGACGCAGCAACGCCGCGUGGAGGAUGAAGCCCCUUGGGGCGUAAACUCCUUUCGACCGAGACGAUAAUGACGGUACUGGUGGAAGAAGCCCCGGCUAACUCUGUGCCAGCAGCCGCGGUAAU